Molecule: long non-coding RNA, 1704 nt
Organism: Micropterus salmoides (largemouth bass)
Lineage: Eukaryota; Metazoa; Chordata; Actinopteri; Centrarchiformes; Centrarchidae
Exons: 7
Source: RefSeq, a predicted model, not a curated record
AAAAACACACACUGGAUCCGCCAGAUCACGCAGUAGACAGAACAUUCCAAUCCACCUGUUGGCCACUAGAGGGAGCAAUUUUCAAAGGGCCCGGGAGGAUUUUUUGUGCUGUUUUGGAUAGUUGUAAAGUAAGAACCCCCCCAAGGGCUUCACUCCUGAUUUCCGUCCAUCCCGCUGGCGCAAGAUCAGAUUCCUACGAGAGCGCGUGCGUCAGCAGCAUCGUAGUAGAAAUAGUGCCAGUCCCUGCAGUCUGAAGAGCACCGCACAGCACGCCGAGACACUACUGCUGUCUUCAACAGCCACAGGCUCGACUUUACUACUUCUCAAGACUUUAUCGCAGAGGAACGUUGUGGAGAAAACAGCAUGUCCUCUCCUACCAAGAAAUGUGUUCUCCAGCUUAAAGAUGGGAAAUUUGUCGCAGUCCGGAUGGAAUCGACAGUACCGAAGCUGUGUGCUGUUGAACAUCAAAACAAUGGACCUGUGGUAGACAUAUGGGAAAAGGAGAAUGGGAACGCAAUGGCAUUACGUUUCCAGCAUGAGAAUAAUUACUAUUUGCCAAAAGUGAAUGAGAACGGAGACCUACAGCUGGAGAUGGCUGAAAUUCCGAAUGAUACAUCUGAUGGUUACUGGUUUCAGAAGAAAGAUGUGGGAGGCGGUGAUCAUUACUACCUUCAAUCUGUGUUCAACAAGAAACACCUAAUCAAACAAAACGUACAAAGAAAAGUAAUUUUCAUCCUCGGUGACUUGGGGGGAGGGCGUUGAGGUAACAGAUGUAUCCAUCACCGACUCAGAUUAACUGUCUACCACAUAACUCAAGAUUUCCGUGUUUCCUCUACACUCUACCAGGUUCUGGGCCAAGCAGCUGUGCAGUUAUUUAGAUAAUUUUUUCUUCUUGGGUGACUAAGUGUCCUUUUUGUUAAACGUAACAGAAAUGUGAAGUUGGGGAUUUGGAAAAGUGAAGUUGGGAUUUUGGAAAAGACAGAUAAUUAAUUGAAGCAGCAGUUACUAAGAUGUCCUGAUUUUUUUUAUCCCGGGACAAACUCCCAUAUCCUAAACUUCCUAUACUGUCAUUUUAUAGUGUGUUUUUGUUAAACCUUUGCUGCUGGUACAUUCCAUUAAACCUGUCUUUUAAACUCUACAGGCCCUAAGCCUAAUAUACAAUUGUUUUCAAAGCCUGAAUAUACUCUGCAUGACUAAGUGAUCUUUAUGUGUAAAAUUAGAAGUUUCCCUUUUAAUGUGAUAAUUUUCCUCAAAUUCUUAUGAUGUGUUGGUAUUUAAGUGGGGACGGGGGUAUUUAAUGUUUUAUGACUACUGUAUGUCUGUGAAGCCAGAAUUUCUUCUCACCUAAAGUUAUUUGGUUAACUAGAGUUACUGAAACAGGCUGUUGGGGUUAAUUUCCUAUUCAUGACCCAUUACACUGAAUGGCAGUAAAGCUGACCUCGUUUGAGUAAGAGUAGUAGCUAAAUAGUCAAUAUUAUUCAUUUUUCAGCAGCAGCACUUAAGCAGUUAUAUCAAAAAGUUGGAUCAACACUUGAAUUAACUUUCCCAGCAUUUAGAUAACACCUGCAACUGUUAAACUGACCCAAACUGAAGACAAUUAAUGUUUUCAACAACACCCCCCUUUUUUAGGUUUAAUGUGUGGAAAGGGUCUUGCUUGGCGUUGGGAAAGAAAAGCUUUAUAUACUGUAUUGUUUGUCAUUUUUA